GCAAACUUGGUCAUUUAGAGGAAGUAAAAGUCGUAACAAGGUCUCCGUAGGUGAACCUGCGGAGGGAUCAUUAUCGAGUUGACGGUUAGCCCUCGGGUCCCGCACUCUCCAACCCACUGUUUACAGACCAAGUUGCCUCGGCGGGCCGCCGUCCCAUGUCGCCCCUGGACCUCGCCGUCCUCGGAGCGCCCGCCGACGGGAUUAUCGUUAAAACUCUAUGAAAAACCAGUAAUCUGAGCGAAAUUUAAAUACUUCAAAACUUUCAACAACGGAUCUCUUGGUUUUGGCAUCGAUGAAGAACGCAGC
RNAcentral lists this unclassified non-coding RNA (306 nucleotides) under uncultured fungus. RNAcentral's name for it is "partial contains small subunit ribosomal RNA, internal transcribed spacer 1, and 5.8S ribosomal RNA". The stretch from base 1 to 73 matches the Rfam family "Eukaryotic small subunit ribosomal RNA", at positions 1759 to 1831 of the family's 1831-position model. Lineage: Eukaryota; Fungi. The record is from RNAcentral.